ACGUGCAUAAUAAGUGCGCUCAUGUGCACAUU
Molecule: non-coding RNA, 32 nt
Filed under: Rattus norvegicus (Norway rat)
Lineage: Eukaryota; Metazoa; Chordata; Mammalia; Rodentia; Muridae
Source: RNAcentral